This is a non-coding RNA of Prunus avium (sweet cherry), 1146 nucleotides long. NCBI's taxonomy places the organism in Eukaryota, Viridiplantae, Streptophyta, Magnoliopsida, Rosales, Rosaceae. The record is from RefSeq and is a predicted model, not a curated record.
AGUAUUAAAAUAGUUUUUUUGAAAAUUUUUGGGCACUCUCUCUUUCGUCUCUCUCCCUUCGCAGAAACCAGUUUUGGCCAGCGAUCUUCGUGCUCCAGCCACGGCUAGACGCGUGACUGGUCGGAAAAUGACUAGAGGAGGCCGACGAACCACGCUUGAGCCCAACCUCGGAGAGCCCAGCCUCCUUUCGUUGUCGCGAGCUCCAUGAACCUUCGAGGGUUUCGAGUUUUCGGACACCUUUUGGGCGGUUCCGGGGGCGGUUCCGGCGACCGUUGUCGCCAAUCCAGUUCUUUGGUUGCUGAGCUCUGAAUUAUGAAAUGGUGUGAGAGCUUGUUGAGCUGAAACAGUUGAUUGUUUGAGCUUUAGCUUCAUCAAAAUGUACAGAGCGAAAUGGCUAUCGGCGGUUUGAUCUCGAACCAGAAUUAAGAUUCUUUUAUCGGCUCAGGGAAAGUAUGUCAAACAAACCACACUAUUGUGAUUCUCUUGUUCUAUCUUCAUGCAUGGAUUGCUGAAAGGUCGUUCUGAAUUUUCAUCAUCGGUAACUGUUUCACUUGCAAUGUCAUUGGCUUUGGGAGUUUCCUUAAGGAAUUCGUUUUGGUACUCAGGUUCUUUUGGACUCUCCUAGAUGAUGUCUUCUGACCCAAUUUCAAGAUAUACUUCGAAUAUAUCAGGAUUUCCUACUUCUAGCAAGUGUGUCUCAUCUGUUUGUGUGAUAAGUGGAGUGUCUGGUUUACUAGGGGCUUCAAUCGCCUUCUUCCCUUCUUCAAGUCCAGCUUUUUCUUCAUGAUCAUCUGUCAUAGAUGUCUUUUGUAGCAUGUCCUCAACACACUCUUUAGCUUCCAAGGUUGCUUCAUCAUUCUGAAUGUCAGGCCUUGCAACUAUUGUUGAGAUGGAGUAAUUUUUGGGUGUUCCGGGUACACCACGUGGCUGGUGUACCAUCCAAUAGACAGAGGACAUAUGGAAUAUUUCUAAUGCAGCCCGCCACAUGUCAUAAAAAGAAAUGCAAAGUAUUUUCUUUUGCCUUUGCGAUUGUUUCUGGUGAAACUAUGAACAAUUGGAGGUGGUUUCUACAAAGGAUAUCGGAUGUCUUGUUGGGCUUUUUUUGGAUUUUUUUUUGGAAUUAUUUGUAUGAAAUUGUAUUAACAA